CUGACGGAGCAACGCCGCCUGAGUGAUGAAGGUUUUCGGAUCGUAAAGCUCUGUUGUUAGGGAAGAACAAGUGCGAGAGUAACUGCUCGCACCUUGACGGUACCUAACCAGAAAGCCACGGCUAACUACGUGCCAGCAGCCGCGGUAAUACGUAGGUGGCAAGCGUUGUCCGGAAUUAUUGGGCGUAAAGGGCUCGCAGGCGGUUUCUUAAGUCUGAUGUGAAAGCCCCCGGCUCAACCGGGGAGGGUCAUUGGAAACUGGGAAACUUGAGUGCAGAAGAGGAGAGUGGAAUUCCACGUGUAGCGGUGAAAUGCGUAGAGAUGUGGAGGAACACCAGUGGCGAAGGCGACUCUCUGGUCUGUAACUGACGCUGAGGAGCGAAAGCGUGGGGAGCGAACAGGAUUAGAUACCCUGGUAGUCCACGCCGUAAACGAUGAGUGCUAAGUGUUAGGGGGUUUCCGCCCCUUAGUGCUGCAGCUAACGCAUUAAGCACUCCGCCUGGGGAGUACGGUCGCAAGACUGAAACUCAAAGGAAUUGACGGGGGCCCGCACAAGCGGUGGAGCAUGUGGUUUAAUUCGAAGCAACGCGAAGAACCUUACCAGGUCUUGACAUCCUCUGACAACCCUAGAGAUAGGGCUUUCCCUUCGGGGACAGAGUGACAGGUGGUGCAUGGUUGUCGUCAGCUCGUGUCGUGAGAUGUUGGGUUAAGUCCCGCAACGAGCGCAACCCUUGAUCUUAGUUGCCAGCAUUCAGUUGGGCACUCUAAGGUGACUGCCGGUGACAAACCGGAGGAAGGUGGGGAUGACGUCAAAUCAUCAUGCCCCUUAUGACCUGGGCUACACACGUGCUACAAUGGACAGAACAAAGGGCUGCAAGACCGCAAGGUUUAGCCAAUCCCAUAAAUCUGUUCUCAGUUCGGAUCGCAGUAUGCAACUCGACUGAUGAAUUG
Molecule: ribosomal RNA, 950 nt
Filed under: Bacillus safensis
Lineage: Bacteria; Bacillati; Bacillota; Bacilli; Caryophanales; Bacillaceae
Description: bacterial SSU rRNA
Rfam family: Bacterial small subunit ribosomal RNA
Source: RNAcentral